UCAAGUGAAGAAGCGCAUACGGUGGAUGCCUUGGCAGUCAGAGGCGAUGAAAGACGUGGUAGCCUGCGAAAAGCUUCGGGGAGUCGGCAAACAGACUUUGAUCCGGAGAUCUCUGAAUGGGGGAACCCACCUAGGAUAACCUAGGUAUCUUGUACUGAAUCCAUAGGUGCAAGAGGCGAACCAGGGGAACUGAAACAUCUAAGUACCCUGAGGAAAAGAAAUCAACCGAGAUUCCCUUAGUAGUGGCGAGCGAACGGGGAUUAGCCCUUAAGCUUCAUUGAUUUUAGCGGAACGCUCUGGAAAGUGCGGCCAUAGUGGGUGAUAGCCCCGUACGCGAAAGGAUCUUUGAAGUGAAAUCGAGUAGGACGGAGCACGAGAAACUUUGUCUGAACAUGGGGGGACCAUCCUCCAAGGCUAAAUACUACUGACUGACCGAUAGUGAACCAGUACCGUGAGGGAAAGGCGAAAAGAACCCCGGAGAGGGGAGUGAAAUAGAACCUGAAACCGUAUGCGUACAAGCAGUGGGAGCCUACUUGUUAGGUGACUGCGUACCUUUUGUAUAAUGGGUCAGCGACUUAUAUUCAGUGGCAAGCUUAACCGUAUAGGGUAGGCGUAGCGAAAGCGAGUCUUAAUAGGGCGUUUAGUCGCUGGGUAUAGACCCGAAACCGGGCGAUCUAUCCAUGAGCAGGUUGAAGGUUAGGUAACACUGACUGGAGGACCGAACCCACUCCCGUUGAAAAGGUAGGGGAUGACUUGUGGAUCGGAGUGAAAGGCUAAUCAAGCUCGGAGAUAGCUGGUUCUCCUCGAAAGCUAUUUAGGUAGCGCCUCAUGUAUCACUCUGGGGGGUAGAGCACUGUUUCGGCUAGGGGGUCAUCCCGACUUACCAAACCGAUGCAAACUCCGAAUACCCAGAAGUGCCGAGCAUGGGAGACACACGGCGGGUGCUAACGUCCGUCGUGAAAAGGGAAACAACCCAGACCGCCAGCUAAGGUCCCAAAGUUGUGGUUAAGUGGUAAACGAUGUGGGAAGGCUUAGACAGCUAGGAGGUUGGCUUAGAAGCAGCCAUCCUUUAAAGAAAGCGUAAUAGCUCACUAGUCGAGUCGGCCUGCGCGGAAGAUGUAACGGGGCUCAAACCACACACCGAAGCUGCGGGCGUCACGUAAGUGACGCGGUAGAGGAGCGUUCUGUAAGCCUGUGAAGGUGAGUUGAGAAGCUUGCUGGAGGUAUCAGAAGUGCGAAUGCUGACAUGAGUAACGACAAUGGGUGUGAAAAACACCCACGCCGAAAGACCAAGGGUUCCUGCGCAACGUUAAUCGACGCAGGGUUAGUCGGUUCCUAAGGCGAGGCUGAAAAGCGUAGUCGAUGGGAAACAGGUUAAUAUUCCUGUACUUCUGGUUACUGCGAUGGAGGGACGGAGAAGGCUAGGCCAGCUUGGCGUUGGUUGUCCAAGUUUAAGGUGGUAGGCUGAAAUCUUAGGUAAAUCCGGGGUUUCAAGGCCGAGAGCUGAUGACGAGUCGUCUUUUAGAUGACGAAGUGGUUGAUGCCAUGCUUCCAAGAAAAGCUUCUAAGCUUCAGGUAACCAGGAACCGUACCCCAAACCGACACAGGUGGUCGGGUAGAGAAUACCAAGGCGCUUGAGAGAACUCGGGUGAAGGAACUAGGCAAAAUGGCACCGUAACUUCGGGAGAAGGUGCGCCGGCUAGGGUGAAGGAUUUACUCCGUAAGCUCUGGCUGGUCGAAGAUACCAGGCCGCUGCGACUGUUUAUUAAAAACACAGCACUCUGCAAACACGAAAGUGGACGUAUAGGGUGUGACGCCUGCCCGGUGCCGGAAGGUUAAUUGAUGGGGUUAGCGCAAGCGAAGCUCUUGAUCGAAGCCCCGGUAAACGGCGGCCGUAACUAUAACGGUCCUAAGGUAGCGAAAUUCCUUGUCGGGUAAGUUCCGACCUGCACGAAUGGCGUAACGAUGGCGGCGCUGUCUCCACCCGAGACUCAGUGAAAUUGAAAUCGCUGUGAAGAUGCAGUGUAUCCGCGGCUAGACGGAAAGACCCCGUGAACCUUUACUGUAGCUUUGCACUGGACUUUGAGCCUGCUUGUGUAGGAUAGGUGGGAGGCUUUGAAGCGUGGACGCCAGUUCGCGUGGAGCCAUCCUUGAAAUACCACCCUGGCAUGCUUGAGGUUCUAACUCUGGUCCGUAAUCCGGAUCGAGGACAGUGUAUGGUGGGCAGUUUGACUGGGGCGGUCUCCUCCUAAAGAGUAACGGAGGAGUACGAAGGUGCGCUCAGACCGGUCGGAAAUCGGUCGCAGAGUAUAAAGGCAAAAGCGCGCUUGACUGCGAGACAGACACGUCGAGCAGGUACGAAAGUAGGUCUUAGUGAUCCGGUGGUUCUGUAUGGAAGGGCCAUCGCUCAACGGAUAAAAGGUACUCCGGGGAUAACAGGCUGAUACCGCCCAAGAGUUCAUAUCGACGGCGGUGUUUGGCACCUCGAUGUCGGCUCAUCACAUCCUGGGGCUGAAGCCGGUCCCAAGGGUAUGGCUGUUCGCCAUUUAAAGUGGUACGCGAGCUGGGUUUAGAACGUCGUGAGACAGUUCGGUCCCUAUCUGCCGUGGACGUUUGAGAUUUGAGAGGGGCUGCUCCUAGUACGAGAGGACCGGAGUGGACGAACCUCUGGUGUUCCGGUUGUCACGCCAGUGGCAUUGCCGGGUAGCUAUGUUCGGAAAAGAUAACCGCUGAAAGCAUCUAAGCGGGAAACUUGCCUCAAGAUGAGAUCUCACUGGGAACUUGAUUCCCCUGAAGGGCCGUCGAAGACUACGACGUUGAUAGGCUGGGUGUGUAAGCGUUGUGAGGCGUUGAGCUAACCAGUACUAAUUGCCCGUGAGGCUUGACCAU
Molecule: ribosomal RNA, 2889 nt
Filed under: Pseudomonas aeruginosa
Lineage: Bacteria; Pseudomonadati; Pseudomonadota; Gammaproteobacteria; Pseudomonadales; Pseudomonadaceae
Description: bacterial LSU rRNA
Rfam family: Bacterial large subunit ribosomal RNA
Source: RNAcentral